CAUUAAUCUUGCUAAACACGUGAUUUAUUCUCUCCCGCGAAAUUUCUGCAAGAAAAUAAACACGAAUCGAAAGUUGAAAUUCCAUUCAAAAGGUCAUGUCCUCAUCGGAAUCUGAUUCAGCAAAUGAAUACCAUUUGAGAAGCUCGCAAGACUUGUUCUUGGAUAGUCCCAUUUCUGUGAAACGCCUAAGGCAAAGACUUAACACACCUGAGCCCGAGGAAGCAUGUGAUGUUAUUGUAAUAAGUUCUGACUCGGGCACUGAGACACAGCCCCCUGAAACCGACAAUUUUGAACGUUCAUCCUGUUCCAGCAAACAUACCUUCUGAGGCACACAGAAUCACCAUUGGACACCCCAUCCACAUCAAAGCAGUAAAGGAGAAAACUGACCAUCGGGAGUGUCGCCACAGGGCUGAAUUGUGAUUAUUAUACCCCCCAAAACAAAGUUUGGGGGGGUAUACUGGAAUCGGGUUGUCCGUCUGUCUGUCUGUCUGUCCGUCUGUCCGUCCGUUUUUUUUUUUUUGUCCGGGAUUCAUCUUUGUCGUUAUUGAACAAAUCUUUUUCAAACUUUCAGAUAUUAAUGGCCAUGAUGUAAACUUGCGCCUCUAUGAAAUUGGUACGGGUCACAUGACCCUGACCAGAGUUAUCUCCCCUUGAUGUGUUAAAGUAGGCAAAAUAAGCCCUGUCCGGAAUUCAUCUUUGUUAUUAUUCAACAAAUCUUUAUCAAACUUUCAGAAAUUAAUGGCCAUGUUGUAAACUUUCGCCUCUGUGAAUUUGGUACAGGUCACAUGACCCUGACUGGAGUUAUCUCCCCUUGAUGUGUUAAAGUAGGCAAAAUAAGCCCUGUCCGGGAUUCAUCUUUGUUAUUAUUCAACAAAUCUUUAUCAAACUUUCAGAAAUUAAUGGCCAUGUUGUAAACUUUCGCCUCUGUGAAUUUGGUACAGGUCACAUGACCCUGACUGGAGUUAUCUCCCCUUGUAGGCAAAAUUAGCUUUGUCCGGCCUAACUCCAGGGCAAACAACCUAGACAUGGAGGGGUGGGGGGUAUUCGUUAGCCUAUGGCUUACAGUUCUAGUUUUUCACUAUAUUUAAGUGCAUAUAGACUAAUUUUUAGAAGAUUUGUGUUGUGUUUGGUUAAUAUCAUGUUAUAUUAUUGUUAUAUAUUGUGAAAAAUGCAAGAAAGUAUAGCUGUGUUUGUUUGCUAGAUAAAAAAAGACCUGGAACCGUUUUUUGGAGUCAUUUUUUACAUAUAUGCCAUAUGAUAUGGCUACCUCCCCAUUACAAAAAAUAUCAUAAAAAAAUUAUUUAUCAAUAUUUUUUCAAGAAAUAAAAAGUUUUGUACUUUAAAAACAUUGUUCUAACAAAUAAAUCUUGUUUUUUGUUCAAAACUUAACAUUUGAAAAAUGAGUGGUUCAUGCUACCUGAUCGCUCAUUAUUGUAGCUAUGGGGAUGAACUGAUGGAAAAUCCCCGCCAAAUGCCCUGAACCCUGGGGACACUAGGUUAAAGGCCCAUUCGCCACUAUGUUUAGCGCGAAGACAAAACCACGGCAUUCACCCUGGCACUGCAUUUACCAUUUGCCGAUAUUUGAGGACUAAUAAUAAAAUUAAAAUCAAUCGGCAUGUUUGCACUUGACCCCAUCUGUAACAUUUACCUUUGUUUAUUUAAAACUUUUAACCAACAAAAUCCUUUACCUUUAUAUUAUUACGGGAGUAAGUUUUUUCGAUGUAUAUACAUAUUUUGUAUAAACAUGUUGAUUAUAUAGUGUUGCUUUCAAUCUAAACUAUCUUUAUCAUUAACUUCAGUGAAAUCCCCGCCAAAUGCCCACGCCCCGCACCCCUGGGACCCUAGGAUAGGCCAAAUUCCACCUUUUAUGGCGCAGACAAAACCACUGCAUUCCUCCGGCACUGCGGGGCCACAUAGAAGUAAAAACACGACCCAUUUCCAGUAUACCACCUGACCUGGUGGGGCUGUGGAUACAACUGACUGGUGCAUAACACAUUCACUUGGCACUGCGGAGCUACCUUAAAAGUUAAAACUCGGCCAAUUUCCCGACUAUCCCCAGACCUGGGGGGACCGUGGUUACAAAUGACUGAUCAAAUAAUGCAUAGAUCCUUCCCAUAGUACUUUAAAACACUUCCCAUACAGACAAGCAAACAAACCCACUCUCAUCACAAUUAAGUGAUAAUAAUUUUCUUCCGAGGGGCAGUUAUCAUAAAUUUGGGCUUUUAAAUGCUGUUAAAACGUAUAUGGUUAUCUAAAGCGUUAGUCUUUUUUAACAUCCCUCAAUGACAGUCUGUCACAACAAAAUAAUUAUAAAUGGUGAGCUCAAACAUUGAGCUUGACAUUCUUCAACCACUGUAGAGGCUAUUUUUCAUCGCCCAGAACUAAUCUUUCAGUGAAAUCACCAUAUGGUUGGCUAAAACAUUGGCAAAAGCAAGCAUGCUUGAAUCAAAGUAUUGAAAUCUUCAUAUGCCUGAAUGUUGGAGUUGAUUUCGCAACAUUGUCAAUACUGUAAGCAGCCAUGAACGUCGUUUUUAACCUCCUUUCUAAGAGUUCAAGCUGCAGACAACAGUUUAUAAACAUUAUGAUCUUUGAGCGAAUAAUGUUAUGAUCAUUAGUGUUUACGUACAUUUUGUGUGUCAAGUAUAAUUCAUCAACAAAAAGGGUAAAUCGUGAACACGACUAAGUGGGACAAUGUAGGACUUCCAGUUUGCAGGUACCGUGAUUAAAGGUGUUUGUUAGGCUGUUAAUGUGAUGAUGUCACAGCGGGAUAAUACAUUUUUUAGUCUGGAAUUAGGAAAAUUUGCGUGAAAUUAGUGGAUAGAUCUUUUAACAUCUACAUGAGACGGAGUGGAUGAGUGGCACUUGUUGAUUUUCUUUUCACUAUAGUAGGGUACUAAAACAUGCUUUUUUUAAUAGCAAAGUGACUUCUCCCUCCAGUCAAACUAGGGAGAAGUGGGGAGACUUUUGGGAGAAGUGAUACUUAUUAUAACACCCUAUACAAAUACUUUGCCAAACCACACACAUCAGCUUAUAUUCACAUUCAAAUUGAUUGGUUUUACUAUAAGAAAUUUUCAUAUAAGUGUGUUUUUCUAUGUCACAUAGUGAAUCUACAAAUGGCAUCUAAAAAGAAACAAAAACCAAGACAGCUAAGCAUUAGUCCAUAAAAACAGCUGCUUCAGAGUCUGACAAUUUUUUAUUUGGCGACUCUAUGCAUCCAUAUCCCACUUGGUGUUUUCCUAGCCAAGAAUGACAGAUCCCAGCGCUAAGUAUAUUGAGCGGGGUAGGGUACGAAUGUCACAUCAUUCAGCCGUGCUAUUAUUACUUGUCUAUGGUUCAAUAAUUAUCAAUAUGCUGACAUUUUAGAACCAAAUGACUUUUAAAAGCACUGGCCUUGAUGUAAAAGUUACAUGUACCAUUACAUAAUAAAUGGUUGUGAAUUAAACUCCGAAAUAUGUUCUGACAAAAUGGUGAUCUCCUCAGUUUUUUUGACAUCAUAAAUUAAGGAAAAUACUGUAAGUAAACGCUACAUAAAGCAAAAAAAGUUGUGUGAUUACAUAACAUUUUUUAUCAUGAACAUUUCACUAUAAACUGAUGAUCGCCUGCUUCAAAAGCAAGAAUGUUUCAA
Long non-coding RNA from Mya arenaria, 3625 nucleotides. RefSeq lists it as uncharacterized. The transcript has 3 exons. Lineage: Eukaryota; Metazoa; Mollusca; Bivalvia; Myida; Myidae. The record is from RefSeq and is a predicted model, not a curated record.